Molecule: non-coding RNA, 138 nt
Filed under: Asterionellopsis glacialis
Lineage: Eukaryota; Bacillariophyta; Plagiogrammaphyceae; Rhaphoneidales; Asterionellopsidaceae
Source: RNAcentral
GAAUGGACAGCAAAAUUCUUUAUACUGAUAUUCGUCUUGGCAACUAUGUCAAACAUAUUGCCUUUGUAUGGUUGGCAAAAAAGAAAUGCAAAAAAAAAAAAAAACAAUUGUUGGUAUUGUGUUCUACUGCACAGCUGC